RNAcentral lists this ribosomal RNA (251 nucleotides) under uncultured prokaryote. RNAcentral describes it as "partial 16S ribosomal RNA". It matches the Rfam family "Bacterial small subunit ribosomal RNA", at positions 525 to 775 of the family's 1533-position model. The record is from RNAcentral.
ACAGAGGGUGCAAGCGUUAAUCGGAUUUACUGGGCGUAAAGCGCGCGUAGGCGGCUAAUUAAGUCAAAUGUGAAAUCCCCGAGCUUAACUUGGGAAUUGCAUUCGAUACUGGUUAGCUAGAGUGUGGGAGAGGAUGGUAGAAUUCCAGGUGUAGCGGUGAAAUGCGUAGAGAUCCGGAGGAACCCCGGUGGCGAAGGCGACUUGCUGGGCCUGAACUGACGCUCAGACGCGAAAGCAUGGGGAGCGAACGG